AGACGGUCUCAGUUCGGAUUGAAGGCUGAAAUUCGCCUUCAUGAAGCUGGAAUUGCUAGUAAUGGCAGGUCAGCAUACUGCCGUGAAUACGUUCCCGGGCCUUGUACACACCGCCCGUCACACCAUGAGAGUCGGGAACACCCGAAGUCCGUAGUCUAACCGCAAGGGGGGCGCGGCCGAAGGUGGGUCCGGUAAUUGGGGUGAAGUCGUAACAAGGUAGC
Molecule: ribosomal RNA, 221 nt
Filed under: uncultured bacterium
Lineage: Bacteria
Description: partial 16S ribosomal RNA
Rfam family: Bacterial small subunit ribosomal RNA
Source: RNAcentral